CUCAGCACUCUCUCUUUGAGGUCUACUUCCUGUGUUUUCCUGGAGCACACACCUGAACAGCCACAGCACUGCAGCUGAUGUCAAUUAGCUCGUUAGGCUGAACCAAGCAGUCAGAGAACAGAGACGGUAGAGGGCUGUCUGGAUAAUCCACAGACCUCGCUGUGAACUGUUUCCAGUGGAACCACUGUCCACCAAAGAAACACUUCUUAUAAAAACGUCUCACAUUGUCCAGGGAUAAUCCACAGACCUCGCUGUGAACUGUUUCCAGUGGAACCACUGUCCACCGAAGAAACACCUCUUAUAAAUACUGCUCACAUCGUCCAGGCUAGGCCGGCGGCUAGCUCACGGUUGCUGCUCUGCACUGAUCUCAUACGGCGGUUACAGCUGAUAACGACGUCCUGACUGACAGCACCCACGCUUCCCCCUCAGAACACACUGUUCCAAGACCCUACAGUUUUUCCAAGACCCUCAGUAAGUAAAGACGUAGGCAACAUGUCACUGGUUUUGGCCUCUAGAUGUAUUUAUCCCUGUGUUUAAACAGGUGCUAAUUGUAAUAAUAUAUGUUCCCUUUGUUUUGCUGUUGCAUAACUCCACUCAGAACAAACACUUCAUUAAUCGGGUCGACUGCGUUAGGUAGUCAGUAAUGAGGUGAGUGUUUGAAGAAUAAAGUGAUAAUGACCCAAA
Molecule: long non-coding RNA, 684 nt
Organism: Sebastes umbrosus (honeycomb rockfish)
Lineage: Eukaryota; Metazoa; Chordata; Actinopteri; Perciformes; Sebastidae
Exons: 5
Source: RefSeq, a predicted model, not a curated record